GAUGAACGCUGGCGGCGUGCCUAAUACAUGCAAGUCGAACGCACAGCGAAAGGUGCUUGCACCUUUCAAGUGAGUGGCGAACGGGUGAGUAACACGUGGACAACCUGCCUCAAGGCUGGGGAUAACAUUUGGAAACAGAUGCCAAUACCGAAUAAAACUUAGUGUCGCAUGACACAAAGUUAAACGGCGCUUUGGCGUCACCUAGAGAUGGAUCCGCGGUGCAUUAGUUAGUUGGUGGGGUAAAGGCCUACCAAGACAAUGUUGCAUAGCCGGGCUGAGAGACUGAUCGGCCACAUUGGGACUGAGACACGGCCCAAACGCCUACGGGAGGCUGCAGUAGGGAAUCUUCCACAAUGGGCGAAAGCCUGAUGGAGCAACGCCGCGUGUGUGAUGAAGGCUUUCGGGUCGCAAAGCACUGUUGUAUGGGAAGAACAGCUAGAAUAGGGAAUGAUUUUAGUUUGACGGUACCAUACCAGAAAGGGACGGCUAAAUACGUGCCAGCCGCCGCAGUAA
This 513-nucleotide ribosomal RNA is filed under the name uncultured bacterium. RNAcentral's name for it is "partial 16S ribosomal RNA". It matches the Rfam family "Bacterial small subunit ribosomal RNA", at positions 28 to 523 of the family's 1533-position model. The record is from RNAcentral.